CCAUUUUCCUGCCGCCGGAAGAGCGAAGACGGAGUUGAGAGAUGGGGGAAAAGUCCCAGUGAUAUCCAUCCACACCGGAAGAGACCGCCCACGCGACUUCCCAGAAACACGAGCCGAUACCCCUCCUUUUGGGCCACUCUAGCCGCGGGGCGCGGCGAAGCUCCUCCACAGAGCCCGAUAACCAGCCCCCCUGGGAGUGCCCAGACAGAGGGCCGAUUUACAAUGUCAAGUCUAGGGACAGCAUGCCGGGGGCUGAAGGACACGGGUCUCCAGAUGCUUGAAGACUACUGAGGCGAGGGGAAGGGGGACGGUGCCGGGUCACACCUCAGGCAAGCUGUACCUUUGAACAUCAUUCAUCCCCCCCGCGGACAAUCACUUCUAACAUAAUGCCACGCUUACUAACAAAGUCUGUUUCACUUUGAGAUUCGCCUUUUGCUUUUGGAAUCACGUUAGAGGCAUAGGAAAGUCACCAAGGUCGUAGGGAGAGUUCGAGUCUACCCUUCACCCGCUUUCUCCUGAUGACUCACCCACCAAGGCGCAUUUGUCCAAACGGAGAAAUUGAUAUUGGUACAGGACUAUUACCGAGACUCCAGACUUUAUCCCAGUGUCCCUAGUUUUCCCACCAGUGUCCUUUUCCUCUCCCAGGAACCCACCCAGGACACCAAUUACGUUUAGUGGUCCUGUCUCAGGUUCCUCUAGUCCAUGAGAGUUUCCCAGAGCUUCCUUGCUUCUUAUGACCUUGACGAUUUUAAGGAGUAUUUGGUCAGGUGCUUUGUAGAAUGCGUCUGUCUCAGUCUGGGUUUGUCUGGUGAUUUCCUCAUAGUUAAUCGGGGUGCUUGAUUUUGGGGAGAAUUACCACAGAGGCGGGGUAACCCUUCCCAUUACACUGGGUCCUGCUGUUCACACAGCCCAUCACUGAGGAUACUGACCUUUGUCCCUUGGUUAAGGUCUCGUUUGCCAAGCUUCUCCCCCGCAAAUCUGCUUUGCUUCCCCUUUUCCAUAUUCCAUACUUUGAAAGCAAAGGCAAUUAAGUGCAGCCUACACCCAAGGGAGAAGGGGUUAAGCCCCAUCUCCUGGAGGGAAGAGCUUAAUCCCUCCCUCCCUGAGUGUGGACUGGAUUUAUUGCCUCCCUAUCAUCGGCGAAUUCUUCUGUAAGGAAGAUUUAUCUCCUCUUGUCCUAUUUGUUCAAUCAUUUCUUUCUAUCAGUACGGACUCGCGGAUACUUAUUUUCUACUUUGGGCUUUAAUCCAAUAGUGUAUUCCUAAUUUCGUUGCUCAAAUUGUUCCAGGUUGGCCACUGGGAGUUCUUUUGGAUUGGCUCUAAAAAGGGACAUUUGGUGAGUUACUUCAAAUCCCACCUCUGCCGUGGGUAUUCCCGAAGGAAGAUACAGUUCUGAUAUUAACAAGCGUCCUCUAGAAUGUCGAUAAGACUAAUUAAGCUAAUAAAAUGGCAAUCAAACCGUA
Molecule: long non-coding RNA, 1463 nt
Organism: Felis catus (domestic cat)
Lineage: Eukaryota; Metazoa; Chordata; Mammalia; Carnivora; Felidae
Exons: 2
Source: RefSeq, a predicted model, not a curated record